UGAAGGUUUGGUCCUAGCCUCAAUAUUAGUUAUAACCUAACUUACACAUGCAAGUCUCAGCAUUCCGGUGAGAACGCCCUAAUUAACCGUAAAAUUUAAUUAGGAGCGGGUAUCAGGCACAUUUAAAAUAGCCCAUGACACCUCGCUCAGCCACACCCACAAGGGAAUUCAGCAGUGAUAAAUAUUGCCCUAUGAGCGUAAGCUUGAGCCAAUUAAAGUUAUAAAGAGUUGGUUAACCUCGUGCCAGCCACCGCGGUUAUACGAGUGACACGAAUUAAUAUUCAACGGCGUUAAGGGUGAUUAGAAAAUAUCUCUAUAUAAAUAAAGUUCAAAUCUCAUCAAGCUGUCAUACGCUCCUAUGUCCAAAAACAUCAAUCACGAAAGUAACUUUAUACAAACAGAAUUUUUGACCUCACGACAGUUAAGACCCAAACUAGGAUUAGAUACCCUACUAUGCUUAACCAUAAACAUUGUUAUUAUAAACUACCUUAAUAUACCGCCUGAACACUACAAGCGCUAGCUUAAAAUACAAAGGACUUGGCGGUGCUCCAAACCCACCUAGAGGAGCCUGUUCUAUAACCGAUAAUCCACGUUAAACCUCACCACUUCUUGCUCUUUCCGCCUAUAUACCGCCGUCGUCAGCUCACCCCAUGAGGGCUCAACAGUAAGCAUAAUGACCUUCCUUAUCCUCAAUACGUCAGGUCGAGGUGUAGCGAAUGAAGUGGGAAGAAAUGGGCUACAUUCUCUUUCUAAAGCACACGAACAGAAGUAUGAAAAACUUCUCAAAGGUGGAUUUAGCAGUAAGUAAAUUUUAGAACAUUAUACUGAAACCGGCUCUGGAGCGCGCACACACCGCCCGUCACUCUCCUCGAGAAAUCACCAUAAAUUAUAUAAAAAACUUUAAAAUAAAGAGGAGGCAAGUCGUAACAUGGUAAGUGUACUGGAAAGUGCACUUGGAUUAAU
This 963-nucleotide non-coding RNA is filed under the name Neotrygon kuhlii (spotted stingray). RNAcentral describes it as "12S ribosomal RNA". It matches the Rfam family "Bacterial small subunit ribosomal RNA". The record is from RNAcentral. Lineage: Eukaryota; Metazoa; Chordata; Chondrichthyes; Myliobatiformes; Dasyatidae.